Molecule: ribosomal RNA, 450 nt
Filed under: uncultured bacterium
Lineage: Bacteria
Description: bacterial SSU rRNA
Rfam family: Bacterial small subunit ribosomal RNA
Source: RNAcentral
UGGGGAAUAUUGCGCAAUGGGCGAAAGCCUGACGCAGCGACGCCGCGUGGAGGAUGAAGGUCUUAGGAUUGUAAACUCCUGUCAGAUGGGAAGAAAAGAUCCAUUUCUAAUAAAUAUGGAUUAUGACGGUACCAUCAGAGGAAGCACCGGCUAACUUCGUGCCAGCAGCCGCGGUAAUACGAAGGGUGCAAGCGUUAUUCGGAAUCACUGGGCGUAAAGAGUGCGUAGACGGUUUGUUAAGUUUGUUGUUAAAGACUCUAGCCUAACUGGAGGGUUGCAAUGAAAACUGGCGAGCUGGAGGGUGAGAGAGAGAAGUGGAAUUCCCGGAGUAGCGGUAAAAUGCGUGGAUCUCGGGAGGAACACCAAUGGCGAAGGCAGCUUCUUGGCUCAUUCCUGACGUUGAGGCACGAAAGCGUGGGGAGCAAACAGGAUUAGAUACCCCUGUAGUCC